UUUAUUAUUUUUAUUUUUAUUUUUAGCUGAAAAGACGUAAAGACAGUCAGUCCAGUGGUGUUUCUGGAGAGGUAUUCCUUCAGAAAUGGAGACGACAGAAAGCUGCGGAGGCAGACAUUUGCAGCAGAUUGUUUGCAGAUAAUGCUGUUCUUCUUUUUCAGAAGUUUUUGGGGAGCCAACCCUCACAAACCUUCCGAAAAACUAAAAGAGCUAUUACUGAGUCUCAGCGAAUCUUGCCAUGAUCAGCUCUUCCCAGAAGAGAAGGAAGACCAAGGAAAUGAUUUGCUCAGGAUGAGGAAUGAAGACGGCCAUCUUGUGCUCAAACAAACAGAAGUCCUCUGAUGAUCUCAUCAGCCAAAUGAGGGGUUCUGACCAAGUGAUGCUCUUGAAAGGACUGAAAGAAGAGGAUGUGGUAAAUUGUCUUCAGAGAAAAAGCUUCUCUAAAGGUCUUAAAGCAGCUUGAAGAAUGGUCUGGGAUGUUAGGACUGAGAGAUCCUCUGGCUGAGAACAAGCUACACCACAUCAGUGCUGGAUAUCAAACACAAACUGUUUCCAGACACAAGAGAAGAAGAUCAUGAUGGGGAGAUGAAACCAGUUUAGAUGUGAUGAUAAGGAAUCAU
Long non-coding RNA from Carassius carassius (crucian carp), 620 nucleotides. RefSeq lists it as uncharacterized. Lineage: Eukaryota; Metazoa; Chordata; Actinopteri; Cypriniformes; Cyprinidae. The transcript has 5 exons. The record is from RefSeq and is a predicted model, not a curated record.